GAGCGAAAGCGUGGGGAGCGAACAGGCUUAGAUACCCUGGUAGUCCACGCUGUAAACGGUGGGUACUAGGUGUGGGGGCCAUUCCACGGGUUCCGUGCCGUAGCUAACGCUUUAAGUACCCCGCCUGGGGAGUACGGCCGCAAGGCUAAAACUCAAAGGAAUUGACGGGGCCCCGCACAAACGGCGGAGCAUGCGGAUUAAUUCGAUGCAACGCGUAGAACCUUACCUGGGUUUGACAUGGAUCGGGAGUGCUCAGAGAUGGGUGUGCCUCUUUUGGGGUCGGUUCACAGGUGGUGCAUGGCUGUCGUCAGCUCGUGUCGUGAGAUGUUGGGUUAAGUCCCGCAACGAGCGCAACCCUUGUUCACUGUUGCCAGCACGUUAUGGUGGGGACUCAGUGGAGACCGCCGGGGUCAACUCGGAGGAAGGUGGGGAUGACGUCAAGUCAUCAUGCCCCUUAUGUCCAGGGCUUCACGCAUGCUACAAUGGCUGGUACAGAGAGUGGCGAGCCUGUAAGGGUGAGCGAAUCUCGGAAAGCCGGUCUCAGUUCGGAUUGGGGUCUGCAACUCGACCUCAUGAAGUCGGAGUCGCUAGUAAUCGCAGAUCAGCAACGCUGCGGUGAAUGCGUUCCCGGGCCUUGUACACACCGCCC
Molecule: ribosomal RNA, 649 nt
Filed under: uncultured bacterium
Lineage: Bacteria
Description: bacterial SSU rRNA
Rfam family: Bacterial small subunit ribosomal RNA
Source: RNAcentral